Oryza sativa Japonica Group (Japanese rice) is the source of this 2052-nucleotide non-coding RNA. The record is from RefSeq and is a predicted model, not a curated record. Lineage: Eukaryota; Viridiplantae; Streptophyta; Magnoliopsida; Poales; Poaceae.
CUGGAUCAUGGUGAGCGAAGUCCAAAUCUCAAUGGUGUGAACUACAAAGCCCAUAUACGUGAGCCCAACAGGCAGCGGCCCAUCCUUUCCCUAGGAGAGAAGCAUCUGUCGAUCUCAAUUUUCCUCCCACACCCUAGCCUGUUCGGUCUCUCGGUCUCGGUCUUCCCCACGGAACGCGCCGCCCGUCGUCGCCUGCGCUCCUCUCGCGCAGCGUCACUGCCCGGCAUGGCGCCUCAGCACCACCCUCUACCCCCAGCCGUUUCCAGCGGAAAAGACGCCCGCGUGCCGUCCCCGUCCCUCCCCCUCCCCCGAGCAAGGGAAUCAACCAGAAGCACUGCCUCGCCAUGAGUCGUGCGUCAUCUAUCCCCUUCCGGUUGCAUCUGCAAGCUAACCAGGUGCCAUUUUCUUCUUCCCAUCCUCCUUGCUUGCCUUCUCUAAUCUUGGUUUUCUUCAUAAUGCAGUAUUAUACUUGUGAAAUUUUUGUUCCCCCAUCCUCCUUUUCUUAUUUGUAUAUCUCCUUCAUCUGUCCUCCCUUUUAAUUUAAAUCAUAAUUGCUUCUUGCCUUUUUUUUAAAUCUUGGUUUUCUUCAUAUCGUAGGACUAUACCUGUGAAAUUUUGUUAGCAUUCUCCCUCUAUGUUCCGUGUACAUUUUGAUUUGGCUACCUGUGUGGGGGAGGUCAAGGUAAAUUCUAAUGGCUAAUUUUAUUGCAGGUGUAAGAAUCAUCCCUAUAUAUGAAAGGUUGUGCUGUUCUAGAGCAUUCGAUAAAGUAAUUCAUUACUCCAGGGUGGUUUCAUCCAUAUGUAUUGAUGAAAUUGCAAAGCUGCCAUCAUUAUUUUACUGCAUAUAUUCAGUUAGCUAGAGAUUUUGUAAAAUAAUUCCUUAUAUGUCUUUGAUACUUAUAUUUUGUGAAUUGAACCUUUCAUCGCCAUGAUCUAUUUGGUGCAAGUUGUUUUUUCUAUAAUAAAAGUCUAAAACUUUUAUUGUUUCAGUUCAUCACCAGACGAUUAGAUGGAAGGAAUAAAUCGAAGCCGGUCUCUUGCUCUUCAGACUUACAUUUGAUGGAACUAUGGAAGGGCUUUAUUAUCUUACAUGAUCUUGCUGGUAUGUAAAUGUGUGUUUUCUCAAUGUUUAUAGCAACUGCAAGGGCCAUCAGCAUUUGGUCUCAUGAAGCUCACUCAUGGAGCCAUGGUAUGGAUUGACAUCUGUUUAUCCAAACAAUUCGAGUGAUUAUGGCUUUACCUAAGCAACGUGUUGUCUACCAAAUUAGUGAGGUGCAUUUUUAUUUCCUUCCUGCCAUGUGGUUUAGUUUAUGAACAAUAUAACUUCCUGUCAACUUAUGGGUGACCAUGUUAUUUUUUUUUUGCGAGGAAAACAUGAAGCUUUAUUAAACUGUAGAAUCAUCGCGAGCCAGAAGUUCGAAGACACACUCCAGGGCCUGCUGUGAACUCACCAGGCAAUGGUGAUGCUAGAGGAGGCGAGGUGCUCGCCAGCCACAUUACCGAUUGUCGCCUUCCAAACGAUCUCGGCUCUAUCACCUCUACACUGCUGGCACUGGGCAGAACAGAGCGGUGGAGCACAAGGUGGCAGAGGAGCAACUUUGGCCGCACGGGCAAUUGGGAGGAGGUGCUUCGGGCGACAUGAUCUACAUGCACCAUGGAGGAGAACUAGAUGAGAUGAAAUGUAUUAGAGUUUGUGUCGAAUAUGUAUGCGUAGUCGAUUACAGUUUAGGACUUGGAGUUGUAAUAUGUAUUAGGACUAGAGUAAGAUCAGACUCUAUCCUAGGAUCUCUCUUAAAUAGAGGGGCAGACCUAUUGUAACCACAUGGUGACAUAGCAUAGCGAGAGGGAACGGCUGCCGGCGGCGACUGGCCGUGAGUCGUUGUAACUCUAAUACGCUGUAUAUGCUGGAUCGGGGAGGAGCACCCGUAAUCGGUGCCCCGGAGAUAUAGGUUUUGGCUGAACUCCGUUAUCAAAUAUCGUGCCUCACUGUCGUCAUCGUGUUUGGAUCUCCUAUGGCGUUUCUUCCACGUUUAGCUACUGAUGUCGAUUUCG